RNAcentral lists this ribosomal RNA (253 nucleotides) under uncultured bacterium. RNAcentral describes it as "partial 16S ribosomal RNA". It matches the Rfam family "Bacterial small subunit ribosomal RNA", at positions 524 to 776 of the family's 1533-position model. The record is from RNAcentral.
UACGAAGGGAGCUAGCGUUGAUCGGAAUUACUGGGCGUAAAGCGCACGUAGGCGGACUGUUAAGUCAGGGGUGAAAUCCCGGGGCUCAACCUCGGAAUUGCCUCUGAUACUGGCAGUCUAGAGUUCGGGAGAGGUUGGUGGAAUUCCUAGUGUAGAGGUGAAAUUCGUAGAUAUUAGGAAGAACACCAGUGGCGAAGGCGGCCAACUGGCCCGAUACUGACGCUGAGGUGCGAAAGCGUGGGGAGCAAACAGG